Molecule: ribosomal RNA, 253 nt
Filed under: uncultured bacterium
Lineage: Bacteria
Description: partial 16S ribosomal RNA
Rfam family: Bacterial small subunit ribosomal RNA
Source: RNAcentral
UACAGGGGGUGCAAACGUUGCUCGGAAUUAUUGGGCGUAAAGCGCGCGUAGGCGGCUACUUAAGUCGGAUGUGAAAGCCCUUGGCUCAACUGAGGAAGUGCACCCGAAACUGAGUGGCUUGAGUACUAAAGAGGGUCGCGGAAUUCCCGGUGUAGAGGUGAAAUUCGUAGAUAUCGGGAGGAACACCGGUGGCGAAGGCAGCCUCCUGGGCCAACACUGACGCUCAGGCACGAAAGCGUGGGGAGCAAACAGG